GACGAACGCUGGCGGCGUGCUUAACACAUGCAAGUCGAACGGAAAGGCCCUGCUUUUGUGGGGUGCUCGAGUGGCGAACGGGUGAGUAACACGUGAGUAACCUGCCCUUGACUUUGGGAUAACUUCAGGAAACUGGGGCUAAUACCGGAUAGGAGCUCCUGCUGCAUGGUGGGGGUUGGAAAGUUGCGGCGGUUGGGGAUGGACUCGCGGCUUAUCAGCUGGUUGGUGGGGUAGUGGCUUACCAAGGCUUGGACGGGUAGCCGGCCUGGGAGGGAGACAGGCACCAUAGGACUACGGGACGGACCAGAAGGCAAACGGGGGCAAGGGGCGGGAAACUUACCCAAAGGGGCGGAGUCCGGGAGGAAGACCUCCGGGUCGGGAAGCACGGUUUCGGGUUGUAAACCGCUUUCGCCUGUGACGAAGCGUGAGUGACGGUAAUGGGUAAAGAAGCACCGGCUAACUACGUG
RNAcentral lists this ribosomal RNA (467 nucleotides) under uncultured bacterium. RNAcentral's name for it is "partial 16S ribosomal RNA". It matches the Rfam family "Bacterial small subunit ribosomal RNA", at positions 28 to 507 of the family's 1533-position model. The record is from RNAcentral.